Phyllostomus hastatus (greater spear-nosed bat) is the source of this 774-nucleotide long non-coding RNA. RefSeq lists it as uncharacterized. NCBI's taxonomy places the organism in Eukaryota, Metazoa, Chordata, Mammalia, Chiroptera, Phyllostomidae. The record is from RefSeq and is a predicted model, not a curated record. The transcript is spliced from 3 exons.
UCCUCCCUGCAUGCACUCACUAAGCUAUCUGCAAACCAGGUAGAGAUUCUUCACCGGAAACCAAACUGGCCAGAACUUUGAUCUUGGACUUCUAGCCUCAAAACUGGCAGAAAACAAUAACUGGAGAAGUGCCAAAAUGAAUUCCUGAGCCUGAAGUUGUUCCAUCAGGAGCUUCGGCUGGAUUGCAGUCACAGUGGAUUGGGCACUGAACAAGGCAUUGAGGAUAACAAAGUGCAUAGCCACAUCAAGGCACCACCUAUACACAGCUCUCCAGGGGCUUCCAACUCUGUGAAUGUUGGCCUGAGGCUUACCCUGAGCUCAUCUCCCUUGCAUAUCCCCUCAUUUCAUAUCCUUGUGUUUGCCUAACCCACUGGGCUCGAUGCCCUUCCUCAUAAAUGCUAAACACACUUCCCUUCAAGAUAUUUGCAUUGCUAUUUCCUUGGCUAGAAGAUUUACUCCCAGAUAUUAACCGUACUUCACUCAUAUCUCUGCUCAAAUACUAUCUCUUCACUCAGGCCUCUGGCAACAACUGGGUAUAUGUGGAGACUUCUCAUUCCAACACAGAUGUUAUCCUUCAACCAGCUUAUUUUAUAUUUAUAAUAUUUAUUCAUACCUGAUAUAUGAUACAUCUAUUUGUUUUCUAGUUUAUUAUUUGUCUCCCCAAUCAGAAUAUGAUAAAGUCUGUCUGGAAAAAGUGCAGCCAUUGUUAAUAUAACAAGAAUGGUUUGCAUGACAUCGAUGUAACCUGGCAGCCAAAGAGAGUAGGCUGGAAUG